CCUACGGGCGGCAGCAGUAAGGAAUAUUGCUCAAUGGCGGAAACGCUGAAGCAGCAACGCCGCGUGAGGGAUGACGGUUUUAGGAUUGUUAACUCCUUUUUUUAGAGGAGAUUAUGACUGUAUCUGACGAAUAAUCACCGGCUAACUCCGUGCCAGCAGCCGCGGUAAUACGGAGGGUGCAAGCGUUACUCGGAAUCACUGGGCGUAAAGCGUGCGUAGGCGGGUUAAUAAGUCAGAUGUGAAAUCCUGUAGCUUAACUACAGAACUGCAUCUGAAACUGUUACUCUGGAGUGUGGGAGAGGUAGGUGGAAUUCUUGGUGUAGGGGUAAAAUCCGUAGAGAUCAAGAGGAAUACUCAUUGCGAAGGCGACCUGCUGGAACAUUACUGACGCUGAUGCACGAAAGCGUGGGGAGCAAACAGGAUUAGAUACCCUAGUAGUC
RNAcentral lists this ribosomal RNA (440 nucleotides) under uncultured bacterium. RNAcentral's name for it is "partial 16S ribosomal RNA". It matches the Rfam family "Bacterial small subunit ribosomal RNA", at positions 338 to 795 of the family's 1533-position model. The record is from RNAcentral.